RNAcentral lists this ribosomal RNA (433 nucleotides) under uncultured bacterium. Its description in RNAcentral is "partial 16S ribosomal RNA". It matches the Rfam family "Bacterial small subunit ribosomal RNA", at positions 29 to 507 of the family's 1533-position model. The record is from RNAcentral.
AACGAACGCUGGCGGCAUGCCUAACACAUGCAAGUCGAACGAGACCUUCGGGUCUAGUGUCGCACGGGUGCGUAACGCGUGUGAAUCUGCUCUUAGGUUCGUCAUAACUCCCCGCCAGGGGUGCUAAUACCGGAUAAUGUCUUCUCCCCAACGAUUUAUCGCCUUUGGAUUUGCCCGCGUUGGAUUAGCUAGUUGGUAGGGUAAAAGCCUACCAAGGCGACGAUCUAUAGCUGGUCUGAGAGGAGGAUCAGCCACACUGGGACUGAGACACGGCCCAGACUCCUACGGGAGGAAGCAGUGGGGAAUAUUGGACAAUGGGCGAAAGACGGAGCCAGAAAUGCCGCGUGAGUGAUGAAGGAAUUAGGGUAGUAAAGCUCUUUUACCCGGGAUGAGAAUGACAGGACCGGGAGAAUAAGCUCCGGCUAACUCCGUG